AUAUGCAUAUCACGCUAACAACCUAUCGCAUAAUAUCACACAACACGUAUUAUAAUAUUUGUUGGUGCAGGAAUUAGCACCUCCGACAAUACUAAUUUAAACCGAGGAAUAAUGUGAAUAAAAUCGAGAAUUCGAUUGAACCGGGGUAUCCCGGUUAGCCUGUUAAUGGGCCUAAGUCAUGAGAUCGCCCGAAGACUUAAGUCGACAAUCAAGAUCGCCAUAACCAACUUCUUAGGUCGUGUAAAGGGAAAACUUCCAUUUAAGAGAAGAGGAUCUCAUGAAGAAUAGAAGUAAUGAAGAUUUAAACCUAAGAUAAUUAGAAGUUUAUCAUAUUUUGGUAUAUUCGACCUAUUGUAUAAAUAGAGGGGUCAAACCCCCCAUUGAGAUCAUCUUUAACCUAAUACAAGAGACUACUAUUACAGAGCAAACCCUAGCUUUUUGUUUAAGCAACCUAGUUCUUUUCCUUUGAUUAUUUGUGAGCUAAGAGAGGAGUGAAUUUGUCUAAAUCCCUUAGUACAAAUUCAUUGUUUGAUUAC
RNAcentral lists this small RNA (536 nucleotides) under Arabidopsis thaliana (thale cress). RNAcentral's name for it is "ATSL091480". Lineage: Eukaryota; Viridiplantae; Streptophyta; Magnoliopsida; Brassicales; Brassicaceae. The record is from RNAcentral.